GAGACUGCCUGAGACUUUGUGUGAAUUAUAUAAUUUACAAAAGCUAGAUAUUAGGGGUUGCGUAUAUCUUAGAGAAUUGCCUGCGGGGAUUGGGAAGUUAAUGAACAUGAGGAGUUUACUGAAUGGUGAAACUGAUUCGUUGAAGUACCUACCAAUAGGGAUUUCUAGAUUGACCAGCCUUCGAACAUUAGAAAAGUUUGUUGUGGGUGGAGGUGUUGAUGGUGGCGGCACGUGUAGGCUUGAAUCUCUGAAAAAUCUUCAACUCCGUGGUAAAUGUUGUAUAGAAGGGCUGAGUAAUGUGUCGCAUGUAGAUGAGGCUGAGAGGUUACAACUUUACAAUAAGAAAAACCUCCUUCGUUUGUAUCUUGAGUUUGGUGGAGCCGUAGAUGGGGAAGGCGAAGCAGGGAGGAGGAAGAACAAUGAGAAAGAUAAACAACUUCUUGAAGCCUUACAACCGCCUUUGAAUGUAGAGGAGUUAAGGAUUAUAUUCUACGGAGGCAACAUUUUUCCCAAAUGGUUGACUUCACUAACCAACCUAAGGGAUUUAAUACUUUUCUUCUGCGUUAACUGUGAGCAUUUGCCUCCUUUAGGAAAAUUGCCUCUGGAAGAACUCGGACUAUUGAACUUGAAAAGUGUAAAAAGAGUGGGAAAUGAGUUUUUGGGAAUAGAAGAAAGCACUGAGGAUGAUCCAUCUUCAUCUUCAUCGUCAUCAUCAGUUAUUGCCUUCCCCAAAUUGAAAUAUCUCGAAAUUUGGGGAAUGGAAGAAUUGGAAAAGUGGAAUUACAGGAUUACAAGAAAGGGAAACAUCUCCAUCAUGCCACGUCUUUCUGCCUUGUCGAUUUGUGAUUGCCCCAAAUUAAAGGUGCUGCCGGAUUACAUUCUUCAAACAACGACACUGCAGGAAUUGAGGAUUGAGGACUGCCCUAUUCUAGAAGAACGUUACAGAGAGGGGAAAGGAGAAGACUGGCAUAAGAUUUCUCACAUUCCCCACAUCAAGUGGUCGCCGUAAGAUAUCACUCGCCGGUAAUUCCUCCUCCUCUGAUUUACUUCGUUAUUGCUUGUAAUGAAAUUAAUGAAAAUAAUUAUAUUUUGAAUUAAAAUUCUAUAUUAUUAUUAUUUCUCUCCUCGAAUGGUUGAAAUUUCACUCGCCCCGUAAAUUCUCGAAUGGUUGCAAUUACUAUCACCCGCCGGUAAUUUCUCUCCUCUGUUUUACUUCAACCAUUAAUUUAAUGGGUCACUCUAUGAUGUUGUUAUAAAAAUUAUAGAAUCAAUCAUGGUAUAAAUAUGUACUGUUAGAUUUAAUCAAUGGUUCAUGAAGUUAAAAGUUAAUUAGGAUAAUAUUUUAAAUUCAAUUAUUUAAAAUUUAAACUUCCUAGUUAUUAAAUCUAUUAAACUUGUUUUAUCAAAGCUAAAUAAUUAAAAAAAAAGUAUAGUCUGUUGAAAUUUCUAUAUUUUCUUUUAAAAAACAUGUAGUCUUUUGUAAAAUUUCAUACAACAUCAUAGAAAACCUAACGUAUUUUAUUUUUUAAUGCACGAAAAUUUGUUAUGUGUAACUUCCUGAGAGACAAAAUCUCUGUGAUGCAUUUGCAGUAAUGUUGAAAACUAAAUUAUCAAUUUUAUCUUGUAUAAUGAUAAUCGUGUUUUUUUAUAUAUAAUUUAUGUGACAUUAAUUCUUUAAAGUAAUUGUGUAAUUGUUUUUAGUAGUACAUUAGCCCACUUUGUUUUAUUUCAUACGAGUUUAAUAAUGUUCGCCAGGGAUUCGAGGAAAUGUCAGAACUACACUAAGAAUUCACAGGUCCAAGCUAAUUUAGUUUUAAUGAUGCAGGUAGGAGAGCAAGACUAAGAAAAUGAAAAGUUUAGCCAAAAGAUUACUAAAAUGUUCUGCUGGUAAUUCACUUGCCUUGUUUAAUAGAAUUUCAUUUCCAUCUUCUUCUAUUGAUAUCUUGUUGUGAAUAAACAAGAACAUAGAAGUAAAUAAUUGAAACGCAGAGAAGUAAAGAUAUAUCAAAAUUCGCUAUUAUGAUGAUGUUAAAGCAAGCUCAAGCAUUGCAUUUUUAUUUUAUUUAAUUUAUAGAAUUUUCAUUUCCACCUGCAUUGCAUUUUUACUUCAUUUUUAGGUUGACGUUGAAGACUCUUAUGGAGAACAUUGGAGUAACCAAGGAUUAUUACUGUGGUUAUUGUGCAACGUUUGGUUGCUGGACUUUGAAGAAGGAAGUGAUGGCCGGGUCUGCUCUGUUUCAAUUGAGGAUGGAUAGCUGCCUGAAAGACAUGAUGAUUAUUAUUGCAUGAUGUUUAGGUGCUAAGAUCAUCAUUUCUAUCUUGCUUCAUUCUUGGAAUCAUUUAUCCUAUAUAAACAUAUUGAAUUGUGCUAAUAUUAUCACUUGUGUCAAUGGAGGCAGGAAUUUGGUGCUGAAACUAUUAUGCAGGUAACCACACUUGAUAAUUUACACAAAUUUGCGUUGUCAGAAUAUCCUUUAAUAUUCAUUGUGUUUCUUUGUGUUAUCAGGUUAUCAUGGUAUAUAGAGUAUCAUUUUCAAGGAUUUGUAAGAGCUUUCGCAGUAAAGUUAGUCAUCACCACCUUGUGCAAUUGCACAUACAUUCAUAGUACUUCAAUAUUAGAUUUUCAAGGUUUGUAUGUUUAGUUGAGAUUAAAAUGUUUAGUCACUCAUUCUUAAUCUUUUCUGAUUUUCAAGUUCUUUAGGGCCAUAAACAGUUUUUCCAACUCAUUCUUAUUUUUUAGGUUGAUUUCGAGUACUCUGUGGAGAACAUUGGUGAGACAAAGGAUUAGACUGGCGAUGGAACUGCUGCCUCUGCUGUUAUUGUGCAAGGUUUGAUCACUGGACCUUGAACAAGAAAGCCUUACACGCAUUCUGUAAUUCAAGCGUUCUCUAAAACGAACGAGCAGUAGAAGGAAUAGUAUGACCGGAUCUGCUCUAUUUUAAUUGAAAAUCUCUGUGAUGUUGACGAGCUUAAAGUAGUUGAUGCUUUUUGAAAAUUGUUAUUACGAAUGAAUUCAUUCCUGAAGACGAGUAGCUAAUGAUUGUUAAGGCUUAUUUUCUUAAAGUUCCUUUCUUAACAAAUGUUUCAAUGCUGGCUGUAGUAACAUUUUCAUAUCUUGCAUCUCUCGGGUGCAUCAUGUUCGCGGGUUUGAAAAAGCAUUUUUGGUAAAGUUUCAAAGGUUGUACAACGGCUGUGAAAAGGCAUAUUCAAUUCGGUACGUUUUGGUGUGGUCUCCUAAUGCUAAUAUCAUAUUUUGUAUAGCAAUUAAAAUUUAGGUAUACAAUCUUAAUAUGCAAUAAAUCAUUGUGUACAAAGUUUUCUAUUAAUUAUAUGGUGACUGAAAUUUUAAUUAUAAUUUUAAUUAUCAUAUCAAUCUUAAAUUUUUUUGUAACUCUUUUUUACUUUGCUUGUACAGAGUACCUGUUUUGGCUGAUAUGUCUAGUUCGUAGAAAUUCAUUUCCACUGGUUUCCAUUUGCUUUAGCACAAACAGAAACAGAGCUCUGGGGAAAAGUUUGACUUCUUGUGGUAUUAUGCCGUUGUUUCUUCAUUCAUCAUAUUAUUCGAAUUCAUGCUCUCAUUCAGAGGGUGAAGCCUUUUCUAGGCUGCUUUGUAGCCAAAUUUUUACGCCAUUGAUGCAUGACUGUCAUUUAGAUUUUCCAAAUAACUGCUAGAUUAGAGAAGAAUAAGAAGAUAUUGUUAAAAGGGUAUUUAAUUAGCGCCCUCUGAAUUUAGUUGCCAAUAAUGCAUUGAAAUAGUCGGGGAAAGUUAUUUUCUUAAUUAAAUUACAGGUGAUAAGAUGCUGCUUCAAUUUUGCAAGCAUCUCGUAUUGCGAAGAUUUUGCCCACAUGAGAUCCCACUAUUCUUGACAUCAGGGUAACGCAGGUCAAAUUUUAGUAUCAAUAUAUAUCUUCUUCUUUACUGUUCUGCCUCUAAAUAUUAAACUUUAGGCAAGUUGUUUUUGUUUGUGUAAGUUAUCAGGUUCAGGAUACUAAGCAGCUUAAUUGUUCGCCACACCUAGUAUGAAUGAUGGCCAGGAACAUUAAUUGUUCACAAGCCAAUUUGAUUAGUGUUAGAUUUUUUGCCUUCCUUCGAAAGAUAUCAUCAUCAAAUUUGAGUUGAGAAUAUUUGAAGAGAAUUUUGUUUUGAGAGUUUCACUGUAGUGAAUUUUGGGUUUGCGUUUGAGCACACACAAAGGAUGCACUAAAUAUAACAAAAGUAUAUUUCUACUUCUUGUGGUUAUUUUAAUUUUGUUUCUCGUGUCAUCAUAUUUGAUUAAUUCGUUCGAAUUCACACUCACACAUUUCCAUGAAUAAUUGUUAGGCUGGUGGAGAUAUUUUUAAAAGGGCAUUAACCUACCUUAUGGAAUUGGAAAGUUAUUAUUUCUUGAAAGCAGGCAGCAUCUUCGUUGCGUAGGCUUUCCCCACUUGAUAAGAUGCUGACAUUGUUACCGGCCCCUUAAUUAUUUAUUAACUCAGGUAUUUAUUAUCAAGUACAUCAUCUUAUUCAACAUUUUGGCUAUAUAUAAAGAUUAUAAUUUCUAACAGUUGUUUCGGAUUCUUGUGUACUCAGGUUAAUAGGGCAAAUGUCAGAAUGAAGACUGUUCAGUUUAACCCGUAUAGCAAGGAUGAUAGCGGUGAGGAAGAUUGUUGGCAAGCCAAAUAGAGCCCUCCAUUUUGAGAAAUAUCAUCCGCAUAUUUGAAUUGUUGAGCAUGUGAAGUGAACCUUCUUAUGGAAAUACCUUCCUGUUUGACUUGCAAAAUACAUUACAAAAGCUCCCAAACAGUAUAUUUGAACAGAGUUACCCAUUUUGAGAAUUUUGACUCCCAAACAAGACUGCAGAGUUGUGUAUGGUGGGAUUAGCUGCAGGAGCAGUGCAAGAUUCUUUGUCAAACUAUCUGGCUGGUAAAAAGACUGUUGCCAAACUUCCUUUUCAUUCCUUUGUUCACUUACUCGUUAUAAAUAAAGUAAAAUUAGAAUAUUGUUCCGUUUACUGUCUAAGCCGGUCUAACAUUUGUUUAAUUUGGGCAAUUUUUAAUGCCUGACAGGUUAUCUGUGACAAACCCAUCUGUGAGUACUAAUGUGCUUGGUUAUGGUGCUUUCAUUGGACUACAUGCAAACAUGAGAUAUCAGCUAUUGUGUGGAUUUGAUAGAGACGUCGCCAACCAUUUUGAAGUUAUUGGAGUAGCAAUGUUGUUAAGCACGGCUUUGAGGUCUCUCCCACCCUCUUUUACGUAUUUGUCAAUGAUCGACAUCUCUAUAUAUACAUUGAUACACCAAAUUACUCUUGUUUUAAUGUUUUGUUUGUUGAACUUUGACUGGGUUAUUUGUUUAUUUGUCUCAUAUGAUGUUAAUGCGGUUCCUAUAAAAGUGGAUAUAGAUCUAUCACCUCAAAGUCUGAUUUCAACUUUCCUUCACUUAAUCAACUAGCAUCCUUUCCAAGUCCAGAUACUUACCAAUAGUGAGACUUUGCUACGGAAGUACAAUUUCUCUUGUUUUACAGUUAAAUAUGUAAGAAUAGUUUCAAAUUUACAGAAUUCUGAUAUAGUUCUCUAAGGAAAUGCAGGUGGUGAAUAUGGUUCCAACUUUUAAUAGGCUUUAAUAGGCCCAUUUGUUCAGCCACAGUGAUUGCGGUCUAAAUUCUUCUUUACUGUCUGUAUGUGUUGGAGUUUGUCUAUUGUCCAACUUCUCCAAUGGAUUCCAUGCAGGGUUUUGGAUGUCUAAUUAGGAGAAAGAUCGACAGAUGACCUUUUGAAGAAGGCUUACACAACAGGCCAUCUCAGGAUGUCAUGGCUCAGCACAAAAGUGCCCAGGUGGUUACUGAGCAAGAUAGAGAGAGAAGUUUUUUCUUCUUCAGGCUACCUUCCGCAGCUGUGGCAUACAUGAACUAAGUAGCUACGCGAUCAACAGAAAGUUAGUGACGUGACUUGGGGAUCGAGGGAUUGAUACCAAAGAAUGCCAUUUUUCUGAGCUUGGGCUCCUUGGCUUCAAACAAAACAGUGUUGACUCUAUUGAAGGGGAAAUAGGGGCAACUAAAGCUCGAAGAAAGAGGAUAGUCCGGAGGAAGGUGACUGCAUAAAUUUCUUGGAGUUAAUGUAGUCAAUUGCCCAAUUUUGCUGCCUGUCGAAGAGACACAGCAUGGAAGUCCUCAUCAAACUCUGAGACACCUAAGAACUAGUAGGAGGUGGUGGUAUUCUCCAUAUUUCCUGACAAGUAUAGUUAAUUUUGUUUUAGCUAUGAAUUGUUUCCUAGAUAAUAAUAAUUGCCUUGUUCCUUUGGAGUCUUAUUUACUCUCCGUAACUCAGUUCAAUUUUGCAAAUUCUAUUUCAGAUUUCUUAUAUAGUGUGUCUUUGUUACUUUUGUGAUGCCUUUUUUAUCGCAAGUUUCCAUUUGAAGUAUCCGAUAUUCUUUACAGACUAAUUAUCUAAUGAUUAUUUUAUACAAAAAAAAUCAUAACUUUAAUCAAUUGAUCAUACUCAACUUAGGUCUUGUUUGAUGUUACUAGCUGUUGUUAAAAUAAAAAAAGCUGAAAUUUGACAAUGUGUAAUAAAUGUAAGACUUUUAAAUAAUAAUUUUUAAUACAAUUAAUAAAGAUAUUAUAAGUUUUUUUAUUAUAAUAAAAUAUGAGAUCAAAUCAAAUUAAUUUUUAAGUUACAAUAGCAAAUAUUUACCAAAACUGUUUAAUUAUGUAGCUUAAAAAGUAUAGUUCUCCAACCUCAACAUUAUAUAGGGAUUUUCCAGACUCUACCAGACUUUAGUUGUACUCACUCGAUCAUGCAAAUCCAUACUCAAUGUGCUUGGCCAUACAAGAUGUUACUCAACUUUAACAAGUCUUACUCAAACUUUGCAUGUUUGGCAUGCCGGAUGGAAUAUGAUAGUAUAUGAUGUGGUAGAAUAUUAUAGGAAUAGUAAUAACAAGAUUACAUGUAGUACUAGGUUACAUUUUACGUGAUGUGGUAUAUGAAUGGAUUAUAUUACAAAUUUUUUUGUUAUAAUAAUUAAAAAUUUGAAUUAUUUUAUUAUUGAAAAAAUGUAAUAUGUUAAAUAACAGUUAUUUUUAUUAAGUAAUUUCUUUGUAAUGAAUUAUACUUUUAAAAUAUAAUCGAAAAUUCUUAUUACUAAACUAAUAAAAAGUUAAUUAUUUGAGUUAUCUCCUAAACUACUUAGCUCACGGGAUAAAUUCACUUAGUUUAGAACGAAACAGUGGAUUUUAGAGCAUCACCAAAAGACUCUUCAAAUAAGAUUUUAUUACUUAUUUGAAGAACCACAUCAACAUUUAAAACUCCAAAAAACACUUCAAUUAAAACUUUUCAAAUAAAAAAUGAUUCUCUUUCUUCAAAUUUGGAGAGUUGCUUUCUCCCUCUUCAAUUUAUAUUUUAUUACUUUUUAUUAGAGAGAGAAAGAGAAGUGCUUUAAUUGCUAUUAACUUUUCCUCUAAAAAAAAUAAUUAUUUGAUUAAAAUAAUAUUAACUUAUUUUUAUUUGAAGAGUUUUUUGGCGAGUAGUAUAUUUUUUACCUUUCUAUUUACCACAUAAGUAAGUAAAUAAAUAGUUGAAAAGUAAAAUGUAUUAAAACUUUGAGUGGGACUACUGGCACCCCUCUAAAUACCUUUUAACACCCCUUUAGUUAUUUUAUAAUUUUAACCUUUAUUAAAAUUACAUAAUAAGACAAUCAUGAAUUUUACAAUUCUAAAUACCUCUUAACACCCCUUUCUUUUGUUUUUAUUUUAUUUUUUUAACAUUUCCGAGUUUACUCCAACUGCAAAUUAAUUUAUGAAUUAUGAUCUACAUACUAUAAAUUUAAGUAAUGCUACAAGCGACUGUAAAUAUUAAAAUAUCAGCAGAAAAAUAAAAAUAUCUUGAUUAAGAGACAAAAUAAAUAGUACCUGAAAUUGAAAUUCAGCAUUUUAAAAAUUAAGAAAGUUACUUUUUCAUCUUAUUUUCUGGUGAGGAAUUAUCGACAUCAGCAACUCAUCAUCAACAAACUUCAGAGAAGAAACUGAGACCUAUGAGGGAAAUUAAGAAAAAAGAAGGUAAUUAUGAAGCAAAGGACGAGCUUAACAAUCAUCAGAAUUAUUUUCCCACCGACAUGUUUUCCAGUGCCCCAGUUGUCUUUCUCCACAAAGGCACGCAGUCUUUCGAAGAAUUCGUGAUUCUGCAUUUUCAGAAGCUUGUGCUCAACAUCUUCAUCAGUAAACCAAAUUAGCACUUGGCCUUAUAAUUACACGCAUGGUAGCCAAGUGUUUGCAAGGUGUCAUUAUCAAUUACAAUGAGUUUAAAGUGCUGGCCAUGUGGUGUUUCAAUGAUUUGCCACAUUGAAGUCGAAGUUUCGUGGAGCAAGUUCCCUUUUCCUUUUUUUUUUUCCUUCUCUCUCUCUUUUUUUUCAAUAGAUGAUUAAUUGUCUCAAAAUCAGUCAAAAAUUAAAUGGGGUUUAUAUUAAUAAAUUUGAAUUAAGGAUAUUUUUAUCAUUAAAAGGGUGUUAAAAGAAUUUUAUAAUAUUUUUAAAUAUUUUAAUAGGGUUAAUAAAAAAAAGAGGUGUUGAGAGAUAUUUAGAGGGGUGCCAAUAGUCUCACUCAAAAACUUUUGAAGAUGCUCUUACUAACAUAAUUUUCUCCCAUUUCCAUAAUGUCCGCGUUGAGUGCAUGUAAUCCACGAGUUUGAUUGAGCAGAAUAGCCGAAAGUCUAAUGAUACCCACAUCCAACUUUGUCACAAAGGCCUGGACGCCAUUCCUUAAGCCCAUGUUGUUUCGGUUUUGAUGUUGUAUUAUCAUUUCACGGGUUUUGGUGCUCUAGGAUUUGGGGAUGGUGCUUCAACGCUGUGUUUAAUGCGUCCCUUUUGGCACUUUUUGUUAAUUUUUAUUCCAAGAGCUAUGCUAAGAAAAAGAAGCAGGGAUGAUCAAAGUGUUGUGAUUGUUUUGUGUUUUCUUUUUUAAUUUAUUUGAUUUUGGUUAAUUAUGAAUGGUGGUAAUUGGUUGAAUGCAAUUGAAGAGAUGCUUUCAAUUGCCUAAACUUUGUUUUUUCAAUUUUUGUAAUAAAUGUCAUUUGUCACCACAUUUUUUUAGUCUCUCCCUUUUAAAUUCCCUCACACAAACUUCGGAUUUGUAUUUUGUAAACUAGUACUUUUCAUUUUCGUUAAUGUGUUAGCUAUUAUUAUCUACAGUUAUGUCAUACGACACACAUGUCACAUUAGCUAAAAUUAGAUUAUGAAUUUUGGGCACAGGACCAAGUCCCACCGUUUGGUAGGAAAUAAGUGUUGGAUCAUAAACUUGAUCCAAAAUAAAUAAAUUCAAGUCCAACUCAUGGAAGAUUCCAUGAGUAGGUAUACUUGGUGAGGUUUGAAUUAUUUGUGUUAGGUGUGGUAGGUUUUAAUGGAUGGUGAGAAUUUGUGUAUUAGUUGAAUAAAUAGAUUGUUGUGAUUAGUUUGUUUCAUGUUUAAAUACCCCCCUCCCCUUUGGUUUAAAUAUAAAGUGAAGUAACAAAAUCUCUAAGGUGUAGAGAGUGAAAAAUAAGAGUUGUAAUUAGUGAGGAGUGUUAUUGAAGAAAUAAAAUAGUGUGUUUUAUUUGUUAAUUCUCCAAAAAAUGGUAUCAGAGCUAGUGUUUGAUGCUAUAUAUAGUAAUAUAGCAUAUCAAAUCGAAGAUCUCGACGAGAGGAACGUGACGCCGCAAAAAUCAUCCCGAUCCGAGACUGGACGCGCCCACACAUGCCGCCGGAAGCUUUAUGUCCUGAAGCUAAGUCGACUCACCGAGUUGAACCAAGCUGAGCCGAACCGAACCAAGCCGAGUCGAGCUGAACCGAAUCAAGUCGAACCAAGCCAACUGGAGCUGAAUCAAUCCGGACCGAACCAAGACUAUUAAGCCAACGCUGACCGUUGACCGUUGAUUGAAAGUUGACUCGAGUCCUUCCCAAGGUUUUUUGAUGUGCCAGAUCCAUCUGUGCUUUUAGAAUCUCCAAAUUCUCACUCAAUUUAUGAGUUAUGGAAAAUGGUGGUAUGAUGUCAUUUCAAGUUCUACAAUUAAAGGGAAGUAAGUUUGACCAUUGGAGUAUUAAAAUGAAGACUCUAUUGGGUGCACAGACGUAUGGGAUGUCAUGGAAAAAGGAUUUAUUGUGCUAGAAAAUGAAGCUACUUUAACUGUGGCGCAGAAGGAGAAUUUAAAAGACUUGAAGAAGAAAGAGAAUAAAGCAAAGUAUCUCAUCUUUCAAUCAUUAGAAGAAGAUGCUUUUGAAAAGAUUGCUGGUACAACCUCCUCAAAAGAAGCAUGGGAGAAACUAGAGAUCUCUUACAAAGGAGCGGAGCAAGUUAAGAAGGUUCGUCUCCAAACAUUAUGAGGAGAAUUUAAGUCCUUACACAUGAAGGCGUCGGAGUCAAUUUCUGACUACUUUACUCGGGUUGUGACCGUUUCUAAUGAAUUAAAUAGAAAUGGCGAGGAGUUAAAAGAGGUAAGGAUCAUUGAAAAGAUACUUCGAUCAGUAGACUUGAAGUUUGACCAUAUUGUUGUGACAAUUGAGGAAACAAGAGAUCUAGAGGAUAUGACGAUCGAGCAACUUCAAGAAAGGCUGCAAGCCUAUGAAGAAAAACAAAAAAAGAAGCAAGGAAUCAAAGAACAACUUCUCAAGAUGGAGGUCAAUCCAAAGAAAAGAGAAGAAAGCUCCGACAACGGAAGAAGACAUAUUUAUCUCCCAUGAAAGCUAUACAAAGGAGAUUCUAAAAAGGUUCAAGAUGAAUGAUUGCAAGCCUAUAAGCACGACAAUGGAAUGCAGAGUCAAGUUAUCCAAACAUGAUGAAGGGGAAGAUAUAGAUCCAACAUUCUUUAAAAGUUUGGUCGGAAGCCUAUGUUAUUUGACAUGCACGAGACUAGAUAUCUUUUAUGUUGUUGGACUUGUGAGCCGAUACAUGAAGAAUCCAAAGACCACCCAUUUUAAAGUUGCAAAAAGAAUCCUUUGCUACAUCAAAGCUACAACUAAUUUCGACUUGUUAUACUCAUUUUCUAAUGACUACAAGCUUGUUGGAUAUAAUGAUAGUGAUUGGGGUGGAGAUGUAGAUGAUUGAAAGAGCACAACAUGAUUUGUGUUCUUCAUGGGAGAUACUGCUUUCACAUGGAUGUCAAAGCAGCAACCAAUUGUCACGCUAUCCACUUGUGAAGCUGAAUAUGUAGCUGCCACAUCAAGUGCUUGUCAUGCAAUUUGGCUUAGAAAUUUGUUGAAGGAGUUGGGUUUGCCACAAGAAGAGCCAACCAAAAUUUAUGUUGAUAACAAAUCAGUAAUUGCCCUCUCCAAGAAUCCAGUCUUUCAUGAUCGAAGCAAACACAUAGGCACUCGCUAUCAUUUCAUAAGAGAGUGUAUUGAAGAAAAGAAGUGCAAGUCAAGUAUGUAAAAUAACAAGAUCAAGCAGUUGAUAUCUUCACUAAGCCACUCAAGCAAGAAGACUUCGUAAAAUUCAGAAGUUUGCUUGGUGUCACAAGAUCAAGUUUAAGGGGGGGUGUUGGAUCAUAAACUUGAUCCAAGAUGAAUAAAUUCAAGCUCAACUCAUGGAAGGUUCUAUGAGUAGGUAUGGUUAGUGAGGUUUGAAUUAUUUGUGUUAGGUGUGGUAGGUGUGGUUGGUGAAGUAGGUGAGUGGUAGGUUUUAAUGGAUGGUGAGGAUUUGUGUAUUAGUUGAAUAAAUGAAUGGUUGUGAUUAUUUUUGUUUCAUGUAUAAAUACCCCCUCUCCCCUUUGGUUUAAAUAUCAAGUGAAGUAACAAAAUCUCUAAGGUGUAGAGAGUGAAAAACAAGAGUUGUAAUUAGUGAGGAGUGUGGUUGAUAGAAUAGAAUAGUGUGUUUUUUUGUGUGUUUUGUUUGUUAAUUCUCCAACAAUAAGGAGCAUUAAUGAAAUAUGUUUAAUUAAGUAAUAAUUUGUUAUUUUAGAGUGAAAAAUAAGGGUAAAUUGUAUUCUACCCCAUAUUAGAUUGACAAACUUCAAUUUACCCCCUAAAAGUACAAAAACUUCAACUUAUCUCCAAAUACCAUUUUCUUCCCGUUAAAUUCAACUAUCGAAAGCAUAAAAUUAUAGUCUUACAUUCUCUUAACAGUCAACUAACGGAUAAGGUAAUUUCCAUAAAACCCAAAUGUAGGGGCGGGCAACGGUUUGGUUUAGAAGUUAGGAACCGAAUGGUUUGAAAACAAACGAACCGAUUGGUUUAUAUUUGGUUUAGUUUGAACUGACAAACCGAUUGGUUCGCUUCAACUUAAUUAAAAAUACAUUUAUUUUAAAAUAUAAAUGCUUAAAAUAUUUUUUUUUUCAUUUUUCAGUUUCCUAAUCUAAAAAUGUUUCAUAACCCUAAAUCAACAGCCAUCUCUCUCAAGUUCGGCGGAGGCACAACAAGCUCUCUCGGUCUCUCCCUCGCAAUCUCAUGGUGAUUGAAUUCUUGUGAUGUCUCCACUUUUGUUUCUUGUUCUUGUGUGAUCGAAUUCUCUCUAUACACACAUACCCCAGCCUCUUGUUCUUUGGCUUAAUGGAGUUUCGUUUCUUUUCUCUCAGUUUCUUUCCUGUUGAAUUCUCGUGAUGUUUCUAUUUUUUUCUUGUUUUUUAGACGUGUUUUCGAAAUUGGCAUAAUGCGAACCAAACCCGAACUGAAUUUCAAAAUCGAAUCAAAUUGAACCAAACUGAAAUUUUUAUGUUCGGUUUGGUUCAAUUAAAAAAUUUGGUAUGCAUUCGGUUCUCUUUCUUAAGAACCAUUUGGUUUUAGUUCAGUUCGGUUUUGGUCUAGAAAAGAACCGAACCGAACCAAAACAAACCAUAUACUGGCCACCUUGCUCAAAUGUUUCAACAAAUUUCAAUGCACACUUAAACAUGUCAAUAAAAUUCGCUUUGUACCCAAAUUGAUAAUUUUUAUUUUUUAAUUAGUUAAUUUUUAACUGCAGAAGCAUAAAAAAUUAUUUCUUUUUAAAAUAAGAAAAAUAAUUUUUUUUCUAACUUUUUUCCUUUUUUUAUUUUCUAGUUAAUUUCUUUAUCUGGUUCGGUUCAUUUUUCCCUUUUUUAUUUCUUACUGUUUUCUGCAUGUUCUCCACGCUUCAACUUCGCCAAGCAUCAUAAGGCCACAAUAGCCAUGCCAGCAAUGGUGCAGCAACGUUAACGCCACUGUUCCAAGUCUUGGCCCAUCAUCUGCUUUUCAACAAACCUUAGCUUCUUCCCAAAUUCAUCAAUGAACCCCAGAACCAGACUAAUCAUUAAAAUUAUUAACAACCAUUUGCUUGGAUCAAUGUAUGCUUGGCAUGUCUAUGGGCUUACUUGUUAUGGUCGCUGAUGGCCUUGGGCUUGCCUGGAAUGGUCGCAACGCGCAGCCAUGGGCUUGCUUGGAAUGCCCGAACCCAGCUGCCAAGGUUUUGCUAGCGUAUCCAUGGAUUUUGCUGGACAUGGCAGUGCGAGGCCAUGGGUGUUGCCGGGCAAUGGACAUGGGUUUUGCUGGGCUGAUUUGGAAUUAACAGUGGCUAUGGAGUUGUUAAGUGUGUGAAAGAUAAAAAAAAAACGAACCAAGAAGAAGAUGAACAGGGAAUAGAACGAAGAAGAUGAAGAAAGUAGAAGAGAGGGAAAAAAUAUUUUGCUUUUUUAUAAAUUUUCGGAUUUUUAUUUCAAAAUUUAUAAUUUUUGUUUAAAUUUGAGAAUCUUAAGGGUAAAAUUUUCUUUGUAACUAUGUAGAAGGAGGUUUUCAGAUGGUUUUUGGUUGGGUUAACAUGAAAUAUGCUUGUUUUAUGAAAUAUUAUUAUUGAGGUUUUGUUUUAUUUUCUAAAAGUUAGAUUAGAGGAUGAUUUUCAUUAAUGACAUCCAUAAAGUUUGAAUUAGUUAUAUUAUAGAAAAAUAGGGAUUUAAAUGAUAUAUCUUUCCAACAUAAAUAUAUCAGUAACAUAAGUUAUUCUAUAAUUAACAGGGGUAUUAUCGUAUUUUAGUGAGUCAAUAUUGGUUGAUAGUUAAAUUUAACAGAUUUUAGAGAGUAAAUUGAAGUUUUUAUUUUUAUUUUUGAGUAAAUUAAAGUAUGUCAAUCUCAUAAGGGGUUAAAAUAUAAUUUACCCAAAAAUUAGUGUUAAAAUUUUAUAGAUGAGUGUAUAUUAAGAUGUUCAAAGUAUUAGGACAUAAUGAAUAUUAUCCUCAACCUCAAGAGAAACAUAUCAAUAAAAUAUACAAAAAUAGAAUGCAUUAGUACAUGUCAAUAAGAAGACCAAUUAGAUCAUGUCAUAUUUGUUAUGUGGUUAUUUUUAAAUUAAGAAAAGGAACAAUGAUGGUUUUACAAAGUUUGAAUAUAAAAUUUAUAAUCUAAAAUUAAUGAUAACGUGUUAUUAAGCUAAUAGAGUAAGAAGUCCCNNNNNNNNNNNNNNNNNNNNNNNNNNNNNNNNNNNNNNNNNNNNNNNNNNNNNNNNNNNNNNNNNNNNNNNNNNNNNNNNNNNNNNNNNNNNNNNNNNNNUUAGCUAUAGAGUAGAGUCCCAAAUGCAUGUACAUCAUAUCUUGGUAAGAAAUUGGUUCUACCCAAAAUACUUCUUUGUAUUGAAAUCAAUGAUGAUUGCUUGUUUAAAUCAUGAAAGUUAAAAUAAUUUUGUAAAUCAUUUCAUUCUUUAAUUUACGGUAUAAAAAUAAAUUAAAAAAAUGUUAAUUUCUCCCAUACUUUUAGGACUCAAAAAAUAACAAAAAGUCUUAACAUAUUUAAUGGUUAUAUAUAAAUCAUCCGUAUGUAUUUUUCUUGAGAGAAGCUCAAUUCGAUAGGCAAUGCUCCCCAUAGUUUUCUUUUCUAAUUAGAUAAAAGAACAAAAGAAAUUGAUUACAAUAAUUCACGGCGAAGUCACCUUGGUCUACCUGAUAUAUAUUACAGAGGUAAGCUUCUUUUUAAUGCCAAACUAGAAUAACAAACUUUAAUUUACUUCUUAAAGGGUAAAAACCUCAAUUUGUCCUUAUAUUUGUUCAAAAGAUACAUUUUGUCUUCUUAAUAUAAACAAGUUAAAUUGAUGUUUCACAUCUUUUAGAAAUAAAUUAAAAAUUGUUAUUCUAAGUAGGAGGUAAAUUUCAAAUAAAACAUGUGUUCAUAUGAUAGAUGUGCAUUUUACAAUAAUUAAUAAACAAAAAGGGUAGUGAUAUUUUCACCCUGCAAUUUUUGUAAAUCCACCCCCACUCCCAAGAAAUAAUUACAAUAAAUUCACAUAAUUUUUUAAAAACUCAAUAAAGAAAAUUUUUGGAGAUUUAAACUAUUAUAUACAAGAGGAUAGGAGUAAACAUUUUUCAUGCAGUAUAAAAAGAAUGGUGACACUCCUUUUCUUUCGGUAUUUUCGCACAAAAGCACGCUUAAUAACUGAUCAAAAUUAUUUCUCCUUUUCUUUGAUCGCUGAUUCGCUUCCCCUCUCCUGGAGCUGCUGAACUCCUUUGUUGCUGAUGAAGUGAACAGGUGAGGCUUUUCAAAUGACCACAAUAUGUAUAAAGACGAACUAAUUACACUAUCAGUGGCUCAAGGUUACCUUAAUGCAGAAGAGGGCAAAGAGAUGGAGAUUCGAUUCGAUUCGAUAAUAGUAGUUUAUUUUAAUUUUUAUUCAUUUAAUUUCAUAGCAGAAAUUUUUAUUUUCAUUUUUUUGUUGAAAAUUGGUAAAAACGAACUAAAAUGAGAUAAUUACAUUAAAACAAUCUUCAAUGACUAAAGUAAUUUGAAAAAAUAAAAAUAAAAAUAAACAAGCUCAAAAUUUACCCCUAAUCCGAACAUUAUCCGAAUUCAGCCUAAUUGACCCAAAUCUAAUUGUAAUCCAAACUUGACAUGACCCGCAAAUAAUUAUAACUCGAUCAGAUCCAAACUCAACCUGAAUUUUUAAUUCAAUACGAUCCAAUCCAAAUAUUCCAACCCCAUCAAAUUGAAACUUGAUCGGGUUGAUCCGAACCCGAAUUUGCCACUUCCGGAGGAGACCAUGACCCUAAAAGCUUUGAAAUAAUCUUUGCGGUUUCUUAAUGAAAUAUUAAAAGUUAUGUGCAAAAAGACUGAUUUGACCCUAGAAUACAUGAUAUAUAAAUUUCAGACAUUAUAUUCUGUGAAAUAAAGUCAAAGUAAACUGGUCGUUUGAUUUUUUAUUAAUUAUUUUCCAUUAAGACAAAAUGACAAAUAGACUUUUUUAAAAGUUUAAUAAAGUUUGGGCCUAACUCCUUGAUUUUUAUUUUUUAAUUAUUUUUCAUUUUGUUUUUUACUUGCAACAUUAGCUUUAAUUAUCAAUCAGUCUCCAAAUCAAAAUGACUGAAACCUGUAGCUACAAGCAAAAUUCUCAAAUUUUGAAAUUUCUAACGACUACUUAAUAGCUAUAAAUAGAAAAAUCAUCUAAAAUUAAUCCUCCUUCAGAGGCAGAUUAAAUUCUUAGUAAUUUCAUAUAAUUUCAUUUCAUCAGAACAAUUUUUCAAAAGCAAUUUUAUAAAUGGUUGUCGAAAGCUUUAUCCCUUAAUCAUAUUUCACGUAUUUUCUUUGUAAUAUGAGGCGCGUCCAUAGACCAUAGUAUGAUAUUUAUUGUAAUUAAAAUCAUUAUGGAACUGAUUUUAUUCUUGUUUCUCAAACAAAGUAUCUAACUGCAGAUGUAAUAAAUUACUAAUUGCCAUUAUUUGAGUCGCGCUCUUUGAAUUCGAUCUUGGAGUUUCAAAUGACCAAAUGAAUUAGUAAGAUAAUGGCUUUUCGUUCCGAGAGCUAUGCUAAGAAAAAGCAGGGAUGAUCAGAACAAAUAGUGUGUUGUGAUUGUUUUGUGUGUGUGUGUGUGUGUUUUUUUUUUAAGUUUUAUUUUGUUUAAUUAAGAAGGGUUAUGAUCUGUUCAUUGCAAUUGACAGAGAUGUUUUCAGUUGCCUAGACUUCGUAUUUUCAGUUUUAGUAAUACAUGUCGUUUUUCACCACAUUUGUUUAGUCUCUCCCUUUUAAAUCCCCUCACACACAAAAAAUUAGGAUUUGUAUUUUGUAAACUAAUAUUUUUCAUUUUGUUAAUGUAUUAAUUAUUAUUAUCUACAUUUAUGUGAUAGGGCACAUGCCACAUAAACUAAAAUUAAGUUAUAAAAUUUUGCAGCCCCUGAGCACUCAAUGUUUGUAGGCACAAGUUCAAGUCCCACCAUUUGUUAGGAUUUAAAUAAAGAACAUUAUAACCAUGCGUCCAAGAACUUAAAGUUAGCUUAAGUGCAUGGAUUCGAGUCCUAGUUAUUGUUGAAAUUCGAUUUCCUUUCUAAUUAAAUUAAGUAAGGGUAAAAUUAUCUCUCAAUUAAUAAAGACAGAGUAGAUAUCUCUCUUGAUUUUCCUCCCAAUUAAAUUAGUUAGAAGUAAAAUUAUCUCUCGAUUAGUAAGAGUAGAAUAAAUAUCUCUUUAGUAUUAUGCAAGGGUAGAAUUUUGGGUUGUACCAUGUUAGAAUUAUCAAGGAUAGUUUUGAUAGAAUUCUAAUUGUAAUAUAUAAGUGUAUAAAAAAAAUGAACAUUAAUGAAAGAUGUUUAGGUAAGGACUAUCUUGGAAUAGAAUUUUGAUUGUAAUAUAUCAAUAUAUAAAAAGAAAUUUAUGAAAAAUGUUUAACAAGGACUGUUUUGAUAUUUUAAUGAGUAGUAAAAAUUAAUGUUAAAAUUUGAUAGAACUUAUAUAAAUAAUCCUAGCUCUAAUAAAAUUUUGCUACAUAAUUAGUUUAUCCCUUAAAGAAACAUAUCAAAAAAAUAUACAAAAACACAAUGCAUGAGUACAUGUCAAUCACAAAUGAAAGCAAUUAAGAUAAAGAAUAUGAUUUAUUUUAUUUUAUUUUAGUUAUUUUUUUGUUUCUUUUGAAACAAGACCAAUUAGAUCAUGCAAGAAGUAAUUUUUUUUAAAAAAAUAAAAAAAGGACAAAUGAUGAAACCCACGUCUAAAGAUGCCGUUGUCGCGGAGGCCUAGAUCUCACUACACCCCAUCCCCUUCUACCAUAUUUUAUAAUUGAAGAGGUCAUUAUUGAAUUGAAAAAUUAUGAUUCAAAAAUCCAAAAGUAGAAAAAGAAAAGCAAUUGUUGGAAACACACUCGGAGUUUUAAAUUGACAUGAGAAAAGAAUAUAUUCAUCAACCUCAUACGUUAAAGAUGCGACGAGUUUAAGAAUAUAUUCCUAACGUGUGGGAAUUUAAAGAUGUUACUACAAAACAUGUGUUCGUCGGUGGAGUAGAAUCAGGGAAAUUAAAGAUGCUACUACAACCACUAACGUGUGGGUGGAGAUAAGCAUAACUUUUUUCAUCAAAUGCCAAAUCCCCCCAGGUGGAGAGUGGGGACUCCUUCGCAUAAAUGUUGAUAAAAUUUUGACUAUGAUGUUAUUAGAAAUUAGGGAAAACUUAUGGUGCAACUGUGAUAUCGUGUCAUAGUUGUAUCCAGCCGUUGGAUGUCAAUGGACUCUACCCAUACAAGUGUAUCCAACGGCUGGAUGUAAUUAUGGCACGGUACCACAGUUGCAUCGUAGCCGGACCCUAAAAAUUAAGAUAUUCUCUCUCUACGUAUGUCUGCACGAAAUAAUAUGCAAAUAUAGUAUUUUAGUUUAUUAUUAAUAGUUUUACAAUAAUAAAAAUCAUUUUGAUAGACAGGAAAAUGUCAUAUUCGCAUUUUAUUUUGUACGGACGUCUGCGAGAAAGAACAUAUAUAUAUAUAUAUAGAGGAACGUGUAUUUAAGAUUUAGCUAGUGUGAAGUUGGGAAAUUUUUUUUUUUGAACCCAAGCUAAAAUUAUUUCAAUAAAUUUUGAUCAUGGAGACUAACAAGAUUUUUUUAGUUAUAUUUAUUAAUUUUUUAGGGACUAAUAAAUUUUGAUCAUGGAGACUAAUAAGAUUUUUUAGUUAUAUUUAUUAAUUUUUUAGGGACUAACAUGAAUAUUAAUAAUUUUAUUGAGAUUAUUAAAAAAACAAUGUGCUAUUUUACAUCUAUGACUUUUCCAAUCUUUUUUUCUUUCGUUAUUUAUUCCUUUGUGAAUUUUAGUUAAUGCUUGAUAUUAUUUUUUUGCUCAUUUUUUAAAGUAGUAAUUAAAUCUGAACCCUUACAGUAGAAGAUUAUGAAAAAGUAAAGACACAAAAAUCAUAAAAAUCAUUAGUAGGUCCAAAUUUGUGCUAUUUUCAUACAUAACUUGAGAAUAUUUAUAAUUACGCAUCAGAACUAGUGGAGUAGAAUCAGGGAAAUUAAACAUUCUACAAUCAUUGACGUGUGGGGUGGGGAUAAGCAUAAACAUUUUCUAUGCAGUAUAAAAGAAUGCAAUAACUCCUUUCUUUCAUAUCUUCGCAACAAAAGCACAUCUAAUAACUCUUCAGAAUUCUCGUCUUCUUUGUCAGAAUGGUUGAUGCGAUCGUUUCCUCUCUCCUGGAGCAGCUGAUCUCUGUUGCGGCUGAUGAAGUGAAACAACAGGUGAGGCUUGUGACUGGUGUCCGAGAAGAAGUGAAAAAGCUUACCAGCAAUCUUCAAGCCAUUCAACUUGUGCUGGAAGAUGCAGAGAAAAGGCAAAUGCAGGACGACAAAGCUGUUACUUUUUGGCUGGAUCAGCUCAAAGGCGCAUCUUACGACAUGGAAGAUGUGUUGGAGGAGUGGACCACUGCAAGGCUCAAAUUGCAGAUUGAGGGCCUUGACGAUGACAAUACUCUUGCUCUUCCUGCUCAUAAGAAGAAGGUAUGUUCCUUCUUUCCUUCUGCCUCAAACUGCUUCGGUAGUUUCAAAAAACUCAGUCUUCGUCAUGACAUUGCAGUCAAGAUUAGAGAGAUCAAUAAAACGCUGGAUGAUAUUACCUCUCAAAAAGAUAGGUUUAAAUUUGCUGAGAAUGUGAGUAACAAUGUCAAGAAGCCAGAGCGAGUGGGAACCACCUCCUUGGUUGAUGAGGGAGAGGUUUGCGGUAGAGUUGAUGAGAAAAAUGAGCUCUGCAAGUUGUUGUGCGAAAGUAGUGAACAACAACAAGGCUUUCAUGUCAUUUCACUAGUUGNNNNNNNNNNNNNNNNNNNNNNNNNNNNNNNNNNNNNNNNNNNNNNNNNNNNNNNNNNNNNNNNNNNNNNNNNNNNNNNNNNNNNNNNNNNNNNNNNNNNNNNNNNNNNNNNNNNNNNNNNNNNNNNNNNNNNNNNNNNNNNNNNNNNNNNNNNNNNNNNNNNNNNNNNNNNNNNNNNNNNNNNNNNNNNNNNNNNNNNNNNNNNNNNNNNNNNNNNNNNNNNNNNNNNNNNNNNNNNNNNNNNNNNNNNNNNNNNNNNNNNNNNNNNNNNNNNNNNNNNNNNNNNNNNNNNNNNNNNNNNNNNNNNNNNNNNNNNNNNNNNNNNNNNNNNNNNNNNNNNNNNNNNNNNNNNNNNNNNNNNNNNNNNNNNNNNNNNNNNNNNNNNNNNNNNNNNNNNNNNNNNNNNNNNNNNNNNNNNNNNNNNNNNNNNNNNNNNNNNNNNNNNNNNNNNNNNNNNNNNNNNNNNNNNNNNNNNNNNNNNNNNNNNNNNNNNNNNNNNNNNNNNNNNNNNNNNNNNNNNNNNNNNNNNNNNNNNNNNNNNNNNNNNNNNNNNNNNNNNNNNNNNNNNNNNNNNNNNNNNNNNNNNNNNNNNNNNNNNNNNNNNNNNNNNNNNNNNNNNNNNNNNNNNNNNNNNNNNNNNNNNNNNNNNNNNNNNNNNNNNNNNNNNNNNNNNNNNNNNNNNNNNNNNNNNNNNNNNNNNNNNNNNNNNNNNNNNNNNNNNNNNNNNNNNNNNNNNNNNNNNNNNNNNNNNNNNNNNNNNNNNNNNNNNNNNNNNNNNNNNNNNNNNNNNNNNNNNNNNNNNNNNNNNNNNNNNNNNNNNNNNNNNNNNNNNNNNNNNNNNNNNNNNNNNNNNNNNNNNNNNNNNNNNNNNNNNNNNNNNNNNNNNNNNNNNNNNNNNNNNNNNNNNNNNNNNNNNNNNNNNUAGAAAAGAAUGUUUGUGGGUAGAAAUUAAUGGUACCAAAGAAUCAGUCAUAAACUCUUUUGGUGACAAAGUCCAUCACUUAGGGUUAAAGUUUGAAGAAGGCGCUUCAUUUCCUAUGUCCAUUCAUGGACUUAAUAGAUUGCGUACCCUCUUAAUUUAUGACCAAAGUCCUUACAAUCCGUCUCUUAGUAGUAGCAUCCUUCCGGAGUUAUUUAAUAAAUUGGCGUGUUUAAGGGCAUUAGUUAUAAGGCAAUCGUACUUAUUAUUUUUGUAUCCUGAGGCAAAUAGGAUUAGAGAAAUUCCAGAAAAUGUCAGAAAAUUGAUACAUUUAAAAUAUCUUAAUUUGUCUGAAUUACACAUAGAGAGACUGCCUGAGACUUUGUGUGAAUUAUAUAAUUUACAAAAGCUAGAUAUUAGGCGGUGCCCAAAUCUUAGGGAAUUACCUGCGGGGAUUGGGAAGUUAAUGAACAUGAGGAGUUUACUGAAUGCUGAAACUCGUUCGUUGAAGUACAUGCCAAUAGGGAUUUCCAAAUUAACCAGUCUUCGAACAUUAGAAAAGUUUGUUGUGGGUGGAGGUGUUGAUGGUGGCAGCACGUGUAGGC
RNAcentral lists this long non-coding RNA (21433 nucleotides) under Citrus x clementina. RNAcentral's name for it is "Citrus clementina (C. clementina) long non-coding RNA (CCLE_LNC002472)". The record is from RNAcentral. Lineage: Eukaryota; Viridiplantae; Streptophyta; Magnoliopsida; Sapindales; Rutaceae.